GGCCGUGGCCGGAGUCGGUGCCCCCGAGGAGAGCCAACCCCUGGAAGCAAAUUGCAGACACUAAGACACUUUAAAUACCUCAGCAUGUACCUCCAGGAGCAAAACUGUCUGGAUUAUUCUAGAGCAUAAGAAGAGACAAGCAGAGCCUAUAAAAUGGGAUCGUGGAGACCAAUGACCACUGAACAAGAUCUCGAGCACAUUCCUGAUAAGAUCUUCCCGACGACAGUUUUUAAACCUCUUGAAACCUGUCACCUUUGUUCCUCUUGCCCCUCGCCUGGCCAAGC
Long non-coding RNA from Hyaena hyaena (striped hyena), 284 nucleotides. RefSeq lists it as uncharacterized. The transcript has 3 exons. The record is from RefSeq and is a predicted model, not a curated record. Lineage: Eukaryota; Metazoa; Chordata; Mammalia; Carnivora; Hyaenidae.